Molecule: ribosomal RNA, 430 nt
Filed under: uncultured bacterium
Lineage: Bacteria
Description: partial 16S ribosomal RNA
Rfam family: Bacterial small subunit ribosomal RNA
Source: RNAcentral
AACGAACGCUGGCGGCAGGCUUAACACAUGCAAGUCGAACGCCCCGCAAGGGGAGUGGCAGACGGGUGAGUAACGCGUGGGAAUCUACCCAUCCCUACGGAAUAACGCAUGGAAACGUGUGCUAAUACCGUAUACGCCCUACGGGGGAAAGAUUUAUCGGGGAUGGAUGAGCCCGCGUUGGAUUAGCUAGUUGGUGGGGUAAAGGCCUACCAAGGCGACGAUCCAUAGCUGGUCUGAGAGGAUGAUCAGCCACAUUGGGACUGAGACACGGCCCAAACUCCUACGGGAGGCAGCAGUGGGGAAUAUUGGACAAUGGGCGCAAGCCUGAUCCAGCCAUGCCGCGUGAGUGAUGAAGGCCUUAGGGUUGUAAAGCUCUUUCACCGGAGAAGAUAAUGACGGUAUCCGGAGAAGAAGCCCCGGCUAACUUCGU